CAGUAGCCGCGGUAAUACGAACCGUGCGAACGUUAUUCGGAAUCACUGGGCUUAAAGCGCGUGUAGGCGGAUGGGAGCGUCGGCCUCUGAAAUCCCCCAGCUCAACCGGGGAAGUGGAGCCGAAACGACCCGUCUGGAGGGACGUAGGGGGACCUGGAACUUCCGGUGGAGCGGUGAAAUGCGUUGAGAUCGGAAGGAACGCCCGUGGCGAAAGCGAGGUCCUGGACGUCUGCUGACGCUGAGACGCGAAAGCCAGGGGAGCGAACGGGAUUAGAGACCCCCGUAGUCCCUGUCUCUUAUU
This 301-nucleotide ribosomal RNA is filed under the name uncultured bacterium. RNAcentral describes it as "partial 16S ribosomal RNA". It matches the Rfam family "Bacterial small subunit ribosomal RNA", at positions 509 to 807 of the family's 1533-position model. The record is from RNAcentral.